AGGUCCUUGUAAAUUUGAAAUCAACCAAGCAUGGCAUAGGAUUUAAGAAUGAGGUUAAAGAAAAGGUUGAAGCCAAACCCCAACCACCUAAGGCUAAAUCUAGGACUAAUAAAACAAAUUCUUAUCCUAGAAAUAGCAAUCCUAGAACUAAUAUGCAUGCUAAACAAAAUGUUGAACAUUUUAGGAGACCUAGAAAUGACUUACCA
This 206-nucleotide long non-coding RNA is filed under the name Nicotiana benthamiana. RNAcentral's name for it is "long non-coding RNA (NBEN_LNC033000)". Lineage: Eukaryota; Viridiplantae; Streptophyta; Magnoliopsida; Solanales; Solanaceae. The record is from RNAcentral.